This 75-nucleotide transfer RNA is filed under the name Streptococcus salivarius K12. RNAcentral describes it as "tRNA-Ile". It matches the Rfam family "tRNA". Rfam says of the family: Transfer RNA (tRNA) molecules are approximately 80 nucleotides in length. Their secondary structure includes four short double-helical elements and three loops (D, anti-codon, and T loops). Lineage: Bacteria; Bacillati; Bacillota; Bacilli; Lactobacillales; Streptococcaceae. The record is from RNAcentral.
GGGCGCGUAGCUCAGAUGGUUAGAGCGCACGCCUGAUAAGCGUGAGGUCGGUGGUUCGAUUCCACUCGUGGCCCA